GGAAGGCCACCGAUGGUGGCGGGGGCACUGGCUGGAGGUCUGACCUUCGGAAGACAACCACAGUCGGCGGCCGGAGGUGAUGGCCACCACAGAGAGAGAGAGAAGCUGAGGAACAAGGCGGAAACAUGGGAGCGAAGCAGGGGAAAGUUCCGCCCAAAUUACGGCGGAAAUCUCGGACAGAGAUGUGGUUUUACGUAGGGGUGGAAAGGGUGAAAAGACAUCGGUGCAGGUGGAAGGUCUGUUGCCCCAAACUCCGGCGACUAUCAUGACUUUUUCGGCGAAAACAGGGGAGUUGGCAGGGUGAUGAGACGUGAAGCGGGGGAGAGAGGAAGC
This 333-nucleotide long non-coding RNA is filed under the name Elaeis guineensis (African oil palm). RNAcentral's name for it is "long non-coding RNA (EGUI_LNC025716)". The record is from RNAcentral. Lineage: Eukaryota; Viridiplantae; Streptophyta; Magnoliopsida; Arecales; Arecaceae.